This 113-nucleotide microRNA precursor is filed under the name Marmota monax (woodchuck). The record is from RNAcentral. Lineage: Eukaryota; Metazoa; Chordata; Mammalia; Rodentia; Sciuridae.
AAACGAAUUACCUGGAGAUCUUGUUAAAGUUCGGAUUCUGAUUCACCAGGUCUGCAAGUGUGGGGUGGGCAGGAGAGUCUGUAUUUCUAAACAUACUCCCAAGUAAUGCUGAA